GUGUCAGCAGCCGCGGUAAUACGUAGGAGGCAAGCGUUAUCCGGAUUUACUGGGCGUAAAGAGUGCGUAGGCGGCUUUGUAAGUCGGAUGUAAAAUCUCCCGGCUUAACUGGGAGGGACCAUUCGAUACUGCUUAGCUAGAGUGCAGUAGAGGGAAGCGGAAUUCCCGGUGUAGUGGUGAAAUGCGUAGAUAUCGGGAGGAACACCAGUGGCGUAGGCGGCUUUCUGGGCUGUAACUGACGCUGAGGUACGAAGGCGUGGGGAGCAAACAGGAUCAGAUACCCUGGUAGUCCACGCAGUUAACGAUGGGCACUAGGUAUGGGGAGUAUCGACCCUCCCUGUGCCGAAGCUAACGCUUUAAGUGCCCCGCCUGGGGAGUACGGUCGCAAGACUAAAACUCAAAUGAAUUGACGGGG
RNAcentral lists this ribosomal RNA (415 nucleotides) under uncultured prokaryote. Its description in RNAcentral is "bacterial SSU rRNA". It matches the Rfam family "Bacterial small subunit ribosomal RNA", at positions 505 to 918 of the family's 1533-position model. The record is from RNAcentral.